This 504-nucleotide ribosomal RNA is filed under the name uncultured bacterium. Its description in RNAcentral is "partial 16S ribosomal RNA". It matches the Rfam family "Bacterial small subunit ribosomal RNA", at positions 29 to 523 of the family's 1533-position model. The record is from RNAcentral.
AUUGAACGCUGGCGGCAGGCCUAACACAUGCAAGUCGAACGGUAGCACAGAGAGCUUGCUCUCGGGUGACGAGUGGCGGACGGGUGAGUAAUGUCUGGGAAACUGCCCGAUGGAGGGGGAUAACUACUGGAAACGGUAGCUAAUACCGCAUAACGUCGCAAGACCAAAGUGGGGGACCUUCGGGCCUCACACCAUCGGAUGUGCCCAGAUGGGAUUAGCUAGUAGGUGGGGUAAUGGCUCACCUAGGCGACGAUUCCUAGGUGGGCUGAGAGGAUGACCAGCCACGCUGGAACUGAGACACGGUCCAGACUCCUACGGGAGGGAGCAGUGGGGAAUAUUGAACAAUGGGCGCAAGCCUGAUGCAGCCAUGCCGCGUGUAUGAAGAAGGCCUUCGGGUUGUAAAGUACUUUCAGCGGGGAGGAAGGCGGUGAAGUUAAUAACUUCACCGAUUGACGUUACCCGCAGAAGAAGCACCGGCUAACUCCGUGCCAGCCGCCGCCGUAA